CCGCCCAACAACAAUAAUUCCGAGGCUGCGAAUCGUCCGGUGGUGAGCCCAGAUAGUUUAAUGUAGAGAUGCGCUCCUUCCCAUCAAAAUUACGAUGCUGGACCAAGCUUUUGUUUUGCUGCAGAGCGUGUGUUGUUGGGUGUGUUGGGUCUGCAUCUGCAGUCUGCGUCAUAACAAAACAGAUAAACACGUGGCAACUGGUUUGACGAUACUACCUAUAGAUUUCAAAAGUUUCAGCUUUGAGCACACUUAACGGCUGGACCCCAUGCCCAGCGAGCGCAGGGUGAACAACACAAGAUCUGCUAAUAGCACAUCUAAAUUUAUGAAUUUAAGCUUUGUCUUUUUAUUUUUGUGGCUUGGGUCUUCAGUGUUGGAAAGCGAACAAAAACAAGCCAACACUCGCAACCACAAUAAGCACGAAUUAACAUGACCUUUGGCCGCCGAUCCCCUUGAACUCGAAUUUCCUCAGCCUUCGGAGCUAGGCUCCAUAUUAUAUUUGCCAUUUUAAUGGCUUGCUCGUGGAUAUACAGUUGUGCGUUGUGUUUUAUUUAUGUCAGCCAUGUUUGAUGUGCGACAGUGUUGUAAAAUGUCCCUAAAACAAGGUCGGAACCCAGAUAAUAUAUGUAUGCAUAUUCGUAGAAACGUUUCCGCGAACCAUUUUGAGAGUGAACAAAGGUCAAUGAGCUGGUGCCCUUUGCACUCCUAAUGGAGCACGGCAAUUAGAAACGCCACCUGAUCAUUAUCGAAUGAUUAUGGCCAAUUACCAUUUGUGCCUGGCUAGAAAAUUCAGAGAAAAUAAUUGUCACUGCGGACGGUAGCGUACAUAACCAAAGCCAAUAAAAACCCAAAUGUUCGGACAAGCUCAGCGGCCAAGUCGAGUCAAAAAACAAUUGAAUCCAAGUGAUUGCUAGUGCUGCACAGGCAUAGGCACAGGCCAUCAUACGAAGGACAGGAUGGAUAUCCCGACUGGCACUGUCUCUCAUGGGACUCAUGGACAUUUUGCUAAUGAAAAUGUUUAUUCAAAUUUGCGUCAAUGGAUGUGUUUACACGAAUGAAAUGACCAUCAAUCUACAUAAAUAAGCUUUGGAUGGUGCUCCCAAUGACGAAGGUUUGAUGACUGGUCUAUGGAUCGAUUUCGCUAUCGAUUGACUCAUCCCAGAGGUAGAGAUUUAACAUAAGCCACGGCUUAAGCCGUGCGCCUUCGUUUAGAUCAAGCAACAAGCGAGUGCCAUGAGGAGUCGCCACUCCAGCCACACGCCACGAUGCUGCUGGUCAGCGCCAGAGCUCGGAGAGGAUGUCCCCGGCAUACAGAACAUUAGUCAAGUGCAACAGCUUUCAAAUAAACAUAAAUUGAACAUGCUGAGCCAGCCCGGAGGCAACAGUCGGUGCCUUGGUUGGGAUGCAGCUGCAGCUGCUCCUCCUGCCCCCCUCUGCCUGGUGUCGUAAUUAAAGCCAGUCGCGCAAUAACGAAGAGGAAUGUUUGUUGCCAGCCAGCGGCGACCAACAAGAAGAGGAUGCGACUCUAAUUUAUUUGUUUUUCCCACUUGACUUUUAUUUACACGUGCAUUGGCAUGCGAGUGCCGUGGCGUGGAGCGGAA
Drosophila obscura is the source of this 1598-nucleotide RNA transcript. RefSeq lists it as uncharacterized. The record is from RefSeq and is a predicted model, not a curated record. The transcript has 3 exons. Lineage: Eukaryota; Metazoa; Arthropoda; Insecta; Diptera; Drosophilidae.